GCUGGGCAUGGUGGCACAUGCCUGUAGUCCUAGCUACUAGGUAGGCUGAGGCAGGAGGACUGCUUAAGCCCAGGAGUUUGAGGCCAGCCUGGGUAAUAAGCAAGACCUCAU
This 111-nucleotide small RNA is filed under the name Marmota monax (woodchuck). The record is from RNAcentral. Lineage: Eukaryota; Metazoa; Chordata; Mammalia; Rodentia; Sciuridae.